RNAcentral lists this ribosomal RNA (468 nucleotides) under uncultured bacterium. RNAcentral describes it as "partial 16S ribosomal RNA". It matches the Rfam family "Bacterial small subunit ribosomal RNA", at positions 28 to 507 of the family's 1533-position model. The record is from RNAcentral.
GACGAACGCUGGCGGCGUGCUUAACGCAUGCAAGUCGAACGGAAAGGCCCUGCUUUUGUGGGGUGCUCGAGUGGCGAACAGGUGAGUAACACGUGAGUAACCUGCCCUUGACUUUGGGAUAACUUCAGGAAACUGGGGCUAAUACCGGAUAGGAGCUCCUGCUGCAUGGUGGGGGUUGGAAAGUUUCGGCGGUUGGGGAUGGACUCGCGGCUUAUCAGCUUGUUGGUGGGGUAGUGGCUUACCAAGGCUUUGACGGGUAGCCGGCCUGAGAGGGUGACCGGCCACAUUGGGACUGAGAUACGGCCCAGACUCCUACGGGAGGCAGCAGUGGGGAAUAUUGCACAAUGGGCGGAAGCCUGAUGCAGCAACGCCGCGUGCGGGAUGACGGCCUUCGGGUUGUAAACCGCUUUCGCCUGUGACGAAGCGUGAGUGACGGUAAUGGGUAAAGAAGCACCGGCUAACUACGUG